This 722-nucleotide ribosomal RNA is filed under the name Pseudomonas sp. RNAcentral describes it as "bacterial SSU rRNA". It matches the Rfam family "Bacterial small subunit ribosomal RNA", at positions 755 to 1474 of the family's 1533-position model. Lineage: Bacteria; Pseudomonadati; Pseudomonadota; Gammaproteobacteria; Pseudomonadales; Pseudomonadaceae. The record is from RNAcentral.
GAACCGUUGGGAGCAAACCGGGUUUGAAUACCCCUGGUAGUGCCACGCCGUAAACGAAGUCAACUAGCCGGGGGAAUCCUUGAGAUUUUUAGUGGGCGCAGCUAACGCAUUAAGUUGACCGCCUGGGGAGUACGGCCGCAAGGUUAAAACUUAAAUGAAUUGGCGGGGGCCCGCACAAGCGGUGGAGCAUGUGGUUUAAUUUGAAGCAACGCGAAGAACCUUACCCGGCCUUGACAUUCUGAGAACUUUCCAGAGAUGGAUUGGUGCGCUUCGGGAACUCAGACACAGGUGUGCAUGGCUGUUGUCAGCUCGUGUCGUGAGAUGUUGGGUUACCCGUAACGAGCGCAACCCUUGUCCUUAGUUACCAGCACGACCUCGGGUGGGCACUCUAAGGAGACUGCCGGUGACAAACCGGAGGAAGGUGGGGAUGACGUCAAGUCAUCAUGGCCCUUACGGCCAGGGUUACACACGUGUUACAAUGGUCGGUACAAAGGGUUGCCAAGCCGCGAGGUGGAGCUAAUCCCAUAAAACCGAUUGUAGUCCGGAUCGCAGUUUGCAAUUGGACUGCGGGAAGUCGGAAUCGUUAGUAAUCUGAAUCAGAAUGUCACGGUGAAUACGUUCCCCGGCCCUUGUCCACACCGCCCGUCACACCAUGGGAGUGGGUUCUCCAGAAGUAGCUAGUGUAACCGCAAGGGGGACGGUACCAACGGAAGGAUUCAAGG